Molecule: long non-coding RNA, 3508 nt
Filed under: Podarcis lilfordi (Lilford's wall lizard)
Lineage: Eukaryota; Metazoa; Chordata; Lepidosauria; Squamata; Lacertidae
Source: RNAcentral
AGAGCCAUUCAAAAGAACAGAAAUUAAUAGAAAUCAGAGUUCUGCCCUGGCUAAGCGAGUGCGCAAUGCGGGGGGGGGGGGGCUGAGCUGGGGGACUCGGCAUUGCAAGGGUUAAAGGGAACCGAGCUGCCUUCCUAGAGAGGACAGGAAGUGGGGGGGCAGGUCCUCCAGAGCCAAGGCCCCUCCCUCCCCAGUCCUUUCCUGCCUGGCUGUCCCUCCUGGGAUCUGGUGAGUCUCCUCUCUCUCUGGGAUCUGGUGAGUCUCCUCUCUCUCUGGGAUCUGGUGAGUCUCCUCUCUCUCUGGGAUCUGGUGAGUCUCCUCUCUGGGAUCUGGUGGGGGUCCCAGGGCUGCAGCAGGGGAGGGGGCUGGGGGGACCCCAAGUCAGGGAGGAGAGGGUCCUGCCAGGGAGGGGCCAGGUCUGCCACGCUCUCCUUCCUGCAGAGCAGAGGAUCCCAAACUCAUUUGGCCCUUCGCCCCCCCUCCAGAAAAAAAUGUCUCCCAGGAAAUCUCCCUUCUUUAAACAAAGGAGUCCCUGGGACUGUGUGACGUCGCUCAGCGUCAUUGCAGAACAGAGGAAACAUCUGCAAAUGGUUUUCGAAAGCUGGACAAGGAGGUGGAGGAAGGAAGAAAAGUUGGGAAGGAGAGGCCAGGAAUAAGGAGAGGGAUCCCAGCCCAGAGUCUGGCUGCUGCAUUGGGGACCAGUUUCCCAGUGUCUCCCAGGGCAGCUCCCCACGGAGGCCACUGCAGCAAUCCCUCGCACCCAGAGCAGGGCAUCCCAGGACCACAUCCUCUCUCUCCCAAAGGGAUUGUUGCUGGCAAAGCAGCCGGAAAUGGGCGCUGCUACUCCCUGAGCCUCCAGGGACCUGGGCAUCAAUGGCUGUGCGUGUGUUAAGCCAUCUAAGAGAAUAAUAAUAAUAAAUUAGCUGCCUAAAUUCCAAAGGAGAUGUAUUUGGCCCCACCCACUUGGCCCUCAGGGGGUUGUCCAGAUACAUUCCUGGCCCUCAGAGCAAAAGAAAAGGGACCCCACCCCAGGAGUCUGUCUCGAGAGCGGCAGAGAGUCCAAGUGCAAGAAAAGGAGACAGAAGUAGGGGGGAAAUGUGCCCUGAAGUGGGGGUGGGGGGAGAACAACUCCUGAGGACCCCCAGAUGAGGACCCCCCACUAGAGCCAAGCAUCCAUUUUUCAAAUGAUUGCCUUGUCAGUCAGUUCUGACUUCAUGCAUUGACUGGAAGGCAGGAGCAACCAGGCUGACUCAUCUCCCAGAAAUCCCUUCAUUUCCUCCACAUUUUGCAUUGCAAUCUUCCUUCUAGGAGAGCUAGAGGAGUCUUCUUCUGCUUCUGCUUCUGCUUCUCCUCCUCCUCACCCUCCUCCUCCUCCUCUGUCUUUUCAAAAAGGGUUGCGGUCCAGUCUAGCCCUGGUUCCUAGCAAGACUCAUCCAUGCUCUUUUAGAGAAGCAUUUUCUUCUCCUGACCUACAAAUUCUGUAACAGAACAAUGUAUUUGCUUUGUAGGAUUUCCAGGACUUCUCAUUAAGACGAAGAUCAAAGGGUUCCUUCUGAUCUCUUAGAAGUUUCCUGAGACCACAGAUGGAUGAUCGAGAUUCAGCUGGCCCCGAAGCAGGAAGAGGCCAUGCCAACCAAACUGGGAGCAGUGGGGGAUUCUGGGAAAACGCUGUGCUGAAGAUCCUGGGUGAGGAGGACACCCUCUGCUCAGAGGUGCAGAUCCGGCAGUUCAGUUGGUUCUGCUACCUGCAAGCCAAAGGACCCCGAGAGGUUUGCAGCCAACUCCACCACUUUUGCCACCAGUGGCUGAAGCCAGAAAGGCACACGAAAGCUGAGAUGCUGGACCUGGUGAUCUUGGAGCAGUUCCUGGCUGUCCUUCCUCCGGAGAUGGAGAGCUGGGUGAGGGACUGUGGAGCAGAGACCAGUUCCCAGGCGGUGGCCCUGGCCGAAGGUUUCCUCCUGAGUCAGGCAGAGGAGAGGAAGCAGGCAGAGAGAAAGCAGGUGAGGGAGACUUUCCUCUGGAUACUACCUUGACCAGAGCCAGGGCCUUUUCGGAUGUGGCUCCGUCCUGGUGGAACGCUCUCUCACAAGAGACCAGGGCACUGUGGGAUUUGACAUCUUUCCUCAGAGCAUGCAAGACAGAGCUGUUCCGCCAGGCCUUUCUUCAGGGUUCAGUCUGAUUCUUUUCUUUCAGUACAAGAAUAAGCACUAAAGAGGCUUCCUAGCCCGCUCACACCUACUUUAUAAGACCAGUGGUAACAGUAGUUGGCCCUAGCGAAUACUAACCACUCUCAAUUUUACCAGUGGUCUGUCCAGAUUUUAAUUUGUUUUGAACUAAUUUUAAGAAUUAUUUUAAUUAAUCAAUUGCCUGUCCUUAUGGUCUUUGUGUACUGUGUUAGAUUUACGAUGUUAGCCGCCAAAAGAUCGGCUCCGGCCAGGGAGGGUGGGGUACAAAUAAAAAAUUAUUAUUAUUAUUAUUAGGGGCUCCAAAGAGGAUGGAGAACAUCCCAUAAUGCUCUGCUGAUGGCCCAUCCUUUUUCUGGGAAGGCAUCCAUGGAAUGAGAUCUCACACCCUUAAAGAUUUUUACUUUUCCAUUUUCUUUCUGCUAUUUCUUGUCCUUCAUUUUCUGUUUUGAAUCCUUGUUGCUCUUUCAGGAAAAGGAUCGUUUUGAGGAAAUGGACAUGGAUUCCUGUGAGGCAGAGAGGCCUCCGUUGGACACCAGAGAGAGGCCACUGGGUAAGGAGGAAGGUGGUUUUUCUCUGUUUGGAGGCAUUCGGAACCAAGGGUCCAGAGGAGGGGAGAUAUAUUUUUGCAUAACUAACAUAUGAAAUGGGCACAAAUGUCCAAAUGCACUCAGCAGGUAAGGCUUUCUGAAAGGCCCAUCUGUAGUUAGAGAUGCCCUGUUUCACCUGUGAGAGACAUGGGCACGCCUGGCAUCCUGCUUACCUGUUUUCUCUUUCAGGAGACAGAAUGAUGCCGGCAAGACCACCUGAUCCAUCUUUUCAUGGGGGCAGAAGGGAAGCAGCGGCUGUGGAACCAGAUCAGGUCAGGGGAAGCUGCCUUGUGGGGACAGAGGCCGAGGGAUGGAGCAAUGUCAUGGACUGGUUGGGCACAGAGGAAUGGUGGGAGGAAGCAGCUGGGGAACCAGGAAGGGGAAAUGUCUCAGCCCAAGGAGUGGAGGUGGAGGAAGGAUGAGCAGUGAAAGGGAGAAGAGGGAGAAGUCUGGGAAGAGGAGGUGUCAGAAGCUGAAGGGAUAACAGGGCUUAGGGAUAACAGGGCUUAGAGAGGAGGGGACUUGGAAAGCUGUGGGGAGCUAGGGGCCUUCUCUUUUGGCAGCUGAUUUCAUGGAGGAAGACCCUGUCAUGGAAUUCUACUCAGUAUUGAUCCAGGCAGAACUCCAAUGUAUAGUUACCAGAGUGAAAAUGUAAAGACGUUGCAGGAUUCCCCAAAAUAUUUUUUUUUUAAUUAAUAUUUAUUAAGUUUUCAAAGAAUAACAACAAAAAUUUCC